RNAcentral lists this ribosomal RNA (328 nucleotides) under uncultured eukaryote. RNAcentral's name for it is "partial 18S ribosomal RNA". It matches the Rfam family "Eukaryotic small subunit ribosomal RNA", at positions 1470 to 1796 of the family's 1831-position model. The record is from RNAcentral.
CCCUUAGACGUUCUGGGCCGCACGCGCGCUACACUGACCAGUGCAACAAGCAUCCGUCCUUGGCCGACAGGCCCGGGCAAUCUUUGAACGCUGGUCGUGAUGGGGAUAGACUUUUGCAAUUUUUGGUCUUCAACGAGGAAUUCCUAGUAAACGCAAGUCAUCAACUUGCAUUGAUUACGUCCCUGCCCUUUGUACACACCGCCCGUCGCACCUACCGAUUGAAUGGUCCGGUGAAAUCUUCGGAUUGAGACUUUGAUUUCUUCACGGAAAACGCUGUUUUAAGAAGUUGAUUAAACCUUACCAUUUAGAGGAAGGUGAAGUCGUAACA